UCUUAAUGAUAGUUGGGAAAUGUUUUUUCGCCAAGGGAUCGGGCUAUAUGGUAUCAGUUAGUUGGUGAGGUAAUGGCUCACCAAGACGAUGACGCCUAGCUGGUCUGAGAGGAUGAUCAGCCACACUGGAACUGAGACACGGUCCAGACUCCUACGGGAGGCAGCAGUGGGGAAUAUUGCACAAUGGGGGAAACCCUGAUGCAGCAACGCCGCGUGGAGGAUGACGCAUUUCGGUGUGUAAACUCCUUUUAUAUAGGAAGAUAAUGACGGUACUAUAUGAAUAAGCACCGGCUAACUCCGUGCCAGCAGCCGUGGUAAUACGGAGGGUGCAAGCGUUACUCGGAAUCACUGGGCGUAAAGCGCGCGCAGGCGGUUUGAUAAGUUGGAUGUGAAAUCCUAUGGCUUAACCAAAGAACUGCAUCCAAAACUGUCAAACUAGAGUCUGGGAGGGGAAGAUGGAAUUAGUGGUGUAGGGGUAAAAUCCGUAGAGAUCACUAGGAAUACCAAAAGCGA
This 513-nucleotide ribosomal RNA is filed under the name uncultured Campylobacterota bacterium. RNAcentral describes it as "bacterial SSU rRNA". It matches the Rfam family "Bacterial small subunit ribosomal RNA", at positions 186 to 718 of the family's 1533-position model. The record is from RNAcentral. Lineage: Bacteria; Pseudomonadati; Campylobacterota.